CCCGAGGAGGCAUCUCCUCGGGUUUAAAGGAAGCGAUUCCGGCUACGGAUGGUCAUGCGUCGCAUUAGCUAGUUGGCGGGGUAACGGCCCACCAAGGCGACGAUGCGUAGGGGUUCUGAGAGGAAGGUCCCCCACACUGGUACUGAGACACGGACCAGACUCCUACGGGAGGCAGCAGUGAGGAAUAUUGGUCAAUGGCCGCAGGGCUGAACCAGCCAAGUCGCGUGAGGGAUGACGGUCCUAUGGAUUGUAAACCUCUUUUGUCAGGGAGCAAAGGGCGCCACGUGUGGUGUUUUGCGAGUACCUGAAGAAAAAGCAUCGGCUAACUCCGUGCCAGCAGCCGCGGUAAUACGGAGGAUGCGAGCGUUAUCCGGAUUUAUUGGGUUUAAAGGGUGCGCAGGCGGAAUGUCAAGUCAGCGGUAAAAUUUCGGGGCUCAACCCCGUCGUGCCGUUGAAACUGGCGUUCUUGAGUGAGCGAGAAGUAUGCGGAAUGCGUGGUGUAGCGGUGAAAUGCAUAGAUAUCACGCAGAACUCCGAUUGCGAAGGCAGCAUACCGGCGCUCAACUGACGCUCAUGCACGAAAGCGUGGGUAUCGAACAGGACUAGAUACCCUGGUAGUCCACGCAGUAAACGAUGAAUACUAACUGUCCGGGCAGAAUGAUGCCUGGGUG
RNAcentral lists this ribosomal RNA (671 nucleotides) under uncultured bacterium. RNAcentral describes it as "bacterial SSU rRNA". It matches the Rfam family "Bacterial small subunit ribosomal RNA", at positions 179 to 845 of the family's 1533-position model. The record is from RNAcentral.